AGUGAACGCUGGCGGUAGGCCUAACACAUGCAAGUCGAACGGCAGCACAGUAAGAGCUUGCUCUUACGGGUGGCGAGUGGCGGACGGGUGAGGAAUACAUCGGAAUCUACUUUUUCGUGGGGGAUAACGUAGGGAAACUUACGCUAAUACCGCAUACGACCUACGGGUGAAAGCAGGGGAUCUUCGGACCUUGCGCGAUUGAAUGAGCCGAUGUCGGAUUAGCUAGUUGGCGGGGUAAAGGCCCACCAAGGCGGCGAUCCGUAGCUGGUCGGGGAGGAUGAUCAGCCACACUGGAACUGCGACACGGUCCAGACUCCUACGGGAGGCAGCAGUGGGGAAUAUUAGACGAUGGGCGCAAGCCUGAUCCAGCCAUACCGCGUGAGUGAAGAAGGCCUUCGGGUUGUAAAGCCCUUUUGUUGGGAAAGAAAAGCAGCAGGUUAAUACCCCGCUGUUCUGACGGUACCCAAAGAAUAAGCACCGGCUAACUUCGUG
RNAcentral lists this ribosomal RNA (492 nucleotides) under uncultured bacterium. RNAcentral describes it as "partial 16S ribosomal RNA". It matches the Rfam family "Bacterial small subunit ribosomal RNA", at positions 29 to 507 of the family's 1533-position model. The record is from RNAcentral.